GCGUCGGUGGUUCAGUGGUUGAAUACUCGCCUGCCACGCGGGUGACCCGGGUUCAAUUCCCGGCCGACACA
This 71-nucleotide transfer RNA is filed under the name Rhipicephalus microplus (southern cattle tick). RNAcentral's name for it is "tRNA-Gly". It matches the Rfam family "tRNA". From Rfam's summary of the family: Transfer RNA (tRNA) molecules are approximately 80 nucleotides in length. Their secondary structure includes four short double-helical elements and three loops (D, anti-codon, and T loops). The record is from Rfam by way of RNAcentral. Lineage: Eukaryota; Metazoa; Arthropoda; Arachnida; Ixodida; Ixodidae.